CUACCAUUACCUGUAUACUCAUUAUCUGCCUUCCAGUCUAAAAAACAUGGUGGAUCAACUGGCCAACUGUGAAGACAUAUUAAUGAACUUCUUGGUUUCAGCUGUCACCAAGCUGCCUCCUGUUAAAGUCACUCAGAAAAAACAGUAUAAAGAGACAAUGAUGCAACAGUCCUCCAGAGCUUCCCGAUGGGCUGACCCUGAUCAUUUUGCUCAACGGCAAACCUGCAUGAACACGUUUGCAACUUGGUUUGGAUCCAUGCCUUUGAUCCACUCCCAGAUGAGACUAGAUCCAGUUCUCUUCAAAGAUCAGGUCUCCAUACUGAGAAAGAAGUAUCGGGACAUUGAGCGGCUCUAAUGACUCAUUGAUUGUUGGACAGCACUCUGAUUGAAGCCAGCCUAAAGAACAUCCCUCCUGAGCUCAGUAAAUAAAGCUGUCUAAGGUGACUCUUGGCAGUUACUCUUUGAUGAACCCGACAGACUGACUCGAGGGGAUUUCUGCUAUCAGCUCAUUGACUAAAAGAUCUAUAUGACAAUUAGGGGUUUUAUUGUCAUUUUAUCAACACUGAGUAACAGGUCUGAUACCCUUUCAGGAGGGAUAUUAAUCCGAAGUCCAUGAAUUGAAAGUGUGAAAAUCAAUUAACAAUUAUUUCAUCUGCACUGUGAAGAACCAAGUGAAACACUAUUCAGUUGAUCAUGAACAAGUGUCUUAAAUUUUGGUCUGAACUUAUCUUAAAGCUUAUUUAUACCACUUAAGCUAAAUAUGAGUUAAGAAAAAUGAACUAUGUUUUGGAAUGUGUAAUCAUCAGACUUGUAUAGGAAUGGGCACUAAGGCAGUUAUGACUAAUGAACGUGCGGUUGGGUUUCACCAAUAAUGUCUGCCAUGUUUACUAUUAGCAUGCAAGUAAUUUUUCUUUAAAAAAACACACACAACCAUACUCACUACAGGAAAGCCCUUUACUAUGUAUGCAGGAAUUCCAUCCUCAUCAGUGGGGGUUGGGGAGGGUGGGGGGAUUUGGGGGGAAUCUGCCACGUAAAAUAGAAACUGCUAGUUAAAAUGUGUGCACAUACCUGCAUGUUAAUAUGCCUUACAGAUGACUUCCUGUAUGGCUUUUACAGGGUCGCUUGGCUGACCUUUGGAUCUGAAACAUUGACUUUGUGUAUUUUAAAGUGAAUGGCACAUAUGGUGCUUAUACAAGGGGUAGCUCCUUGUUUCUAUAUAAAGUUCUAUUUUUUAAAUGGCAGGGCUAUGUUAGCCUUUGCUCACAGGUACUUGAAUGUCUGAACACUUGAAGGAGUGCUGAGCGUGUGGCCUUUUAAUCACUUUAUUUUGGUUAAUAAUGGUUCAGCCUAGUUUUAUAUCUGUAAUUCAUUUAUUUUAAAUAGAAAUCCCAAUUCAUCUCGUGUGCUGAAUCUCCAAUCUACGUUUAGACAUUUCAUAAUUAAGGAUGUGAAAAAUAGGCCUUGUUAUAAUGUACAUAAUCUUGUAUAUUUAUUAUUCUGACAGAAUUGUGUAUAGUGUAUGGUUUCAAACAGAUUGACAAAGCAAUGUGGGAAUAAUUAGAUGGAUAACUGUAAAGCAAAACAAAAAUUAUUUUGUAUAAGAUGUACAUUUCUGAGGUUUUCUAACAUUUCCAAUGUUUUUUCAUAAUGUAUCAUUGCUUUAUAUUAAAAAAAAAUCCCCACACUGGUUGGAAUAACAUGACUACACACAGUUAGUGGGAUUAAACCUACAGAGGAGUGGAGAGAAUACAAAGCCAUAUAUUGUGAUUUACUGCAUUAGCUUUCAAAGCAUUAUAGCUCCAUGAAAAGUAACCUUUGUAUAGAUAGUAUCACCAAAGACUUCCAUAUGAUAUGCAGAUGUCUUCAUUAAUUUAAUUGUAUUCUUAGAAGCAUUUGCAGUUUAUCUGUGUUAUUGAACAUAGAUAUUGAAAGAUGGAUUUUCAUGGUUUCACUACAUUUUCUGCUGCUUUUUGUGUUUUUCUUUGCAGCUUGGGAGCUUUUGCACACUUCCUACUAGCCACCAUUCUUUGUGUACAUUGCAAAUGUAUACUGAUAUGAUUGUAUGUCACAAUUAUUGCUAGCUGAUUCUGGUGCAGGAGGGUUUACAUGCUAUCGCUCCAGAGCCAUUACAUUUGCAGUUUUCUUCCCCACGUCAUCUCUCUGCCAUUUGCUGACCCAUUUCAUAUACUUGGAGUGCCCAUUUUUGUUUUGUGGUUGGGACUAAUUCAGUAACAUUUACAAAUGAAGUAGGACAGAAUGCCAGCCAGAUUUAGGAUUGAUUACUAUAAAUUAAAGAAUAGGAGAACAGCUUUAGGCAUUACACCCUUGGAUUUUAUUGCAUGUCAACUACUUUUCAAGCUCUUUUGAAUUCAUUCAUUUUCUUAAUUUUCAGAAGAGUUGCUAGAAGUAUUAGUUGCAUGAAUGAUAGGUGGUGGUUAUUUGUAGAAUAAAAAUAUUAAUCUCCAGUUAAAUAGUUGGUGCAAUUAAAUUCAGGCAAGUAAAUUUUUUAAAAAGUACUAAAAGGUAUCAUGAAUGAUAUUAAAUGUUAUAGACUAAUUUGUUUGAACUUUAAACAAACGUUUUAGAAUUUAAGUUUGUAAGGAUUGGAAGGAGACACUUUAUUUGUUUUUAAAGUAAAUAAUUGCAUAAGUCAUUUUACUCUGUGACUUACAGUCAAAGAUUUGGGUUUGCAUGUGGCCGUCUUCAAAAUUUAUGCAGAAAACUGGAACUGUAUCUCUCUGGAACCACUCCAGUGACACACAACCUGCUUAAGAAUUCCAUUGCAAAUACUGGACAAAGAAGCUUUCCAUGUAAACCUUCACACCAGUCUUUAAGUCUUAUCCAGAGGUAUAAAUGGUUAUAUUAGGGGGAUUCAGAAUGUUAUGUCCUUAGUUUCUCUUCCACAAGAUAACCCCUUUGCUUCACGAGCACUGGAAUAAUUAUUAGAUGGUUACUGACAUUCCUGGGGCAGAUUUCAGCCCCAAGGGUACAUAUUCUGGUGCUGCAUGUUUCUUUAUGGUUAUUAAUUUUUGACUAUUUAUAAUGAAUUUGUUCCACACACAAAGUAUUCCAUUAUCCUGUGCACCCCACAAUACCUUAAGUUUCUGCUUCUGUAAUUAGUAGUAUUACAUUGGUUCAUUUUUAUAGAUAUAAAUGAUUAAAGACUAGAAAAUAAAUGGAAAUUUUGUAAGAUUUGGUUUUUGUUAAAAAUAAAUGAUAUUUGAUAAUA
Long non-coding RNA from Rhincodon typus (whale shark), 3229 nucleotides. RefSeq lists it as uncharacterized. The record is from RefSeq and is a predicted model, not a curated record. Lineage: Eukaryota; Metazoa; Chordata; Chondrichthyes; Orectolobiformes; Rhincodontidae. The transcript is spliced from 2 exons.